This is a long non-coding RNA of Hypanus sabinus (Atlantic stingray), 967 nucleotides long. RefSeq lists it as uncharacterized. The record is from RefSeq and is a predicted model, not a curated record. NCBI's taxonomy places the organism in Eukaryota, Metazoa, Chordata, Chondrichthyes, Myliobatiformes, Dasyatidae. The transcript has 3 exons.
UCCAGAAAAUUGGCUUUUUAUUCAAUUUGUUUGGCUUCGGAAGAUUCAUUUGGCUUUUUCCCGGCUCUUUCACUUGCUGACAUUAUCUGCAGGAAAAUUACAAGCCAUCCUGUUUCUGAAACAUUUUCCUUUGAGAAAGAUGUAUUUCGGUCAGUUCCAUUCGGCAAUAUCCAAACCGGCAACACGGCCGGUCACGUGAUCCGGCUCCAGUUUGUCUCGGAUGUGAUUUAUAAUCACACACAUCGACUUUCUAUACGGAAUCACGUUUUGUGGUGAAACUGUGACGCCUUCGGCUCUUUUUAUAAAUCAUUUAUCAUCAACACAUGUCGUCAAAGAAAUGGAAAGCUUGUUCCGAGAGCAAUCAACAACCAGACUGUUAGAGCAUUGGGAAGCUUUUCAAAGCCAACAGAGGCAACUAAAAGAAGACAAAAAGAUGGAAUACAAAGGUCAGCUCCAUCUUGGGUACUGGCCUACAAAGGACCCAGGACAUCUUCAGGGAGUGGUGUCUCAGAAAGGCAGCGUCCAUUAUUAAGCCCUUUUCUCACUGUUACCAUCAGGUCCAUCCAAAUGAGGCUCCCCGAUUGGCUGCGGGACAUUGAUGUCAUCAAGCAAUGUUUCCAGAUGGGUCUCUGUGAUUGGCACCAGGAUGGUGACAUCACUGAGUCAGGUAUCAUAGGCCUUGGCUGUGAUUGGUCCCAGGACUCAUCUCCAACAGGUUUUGCAUCAAAGACCCUACAAUUGGCUCUGAGGUUCCCACAGCAAUGGUGAUUGGCUUCCGAGCCUUGACGUCAUCAUGCCAUGUGACCGAUUUCACCCCUCUGAUGUGCUCCACCAGCAGCCCUGUUGGCACCCGGCCUGUCCCACUGGCGAUUGUCUCUCCCCCUAACACCCAACAACGGGCUCCUUUCCAGCCUUCACUGAACACUCGUGUGUGGCCGUUCAGCAACGGCUAUUGGCUCCAGUGGCC